Long non-coding RNA from Cyprinus carpio (common carp), 1077 nucleotides. The record is from Ensembl. Lineage: Eukaryota; Metazoa; Chordata; Actinopteri; Cypriniformes; Cyprinidae.
UAACAAACAUAAACUUGCUGACCGGUGGGAUUCUACUAUUUACAUUGUGACCAAACAAAUGGGAGACCUACCUGUGUACUCCGUUAAACCUGAGAGUGCUGAUGAGCCGGUACUUACGUUACACCGUUAUCACCUGCUUCCUUGUGGAUUUCUUGCUGAAAUGGAAAAGACAGAGAAUGUAAUCGUUACAGCUAGGAAGCCAAGGACGAGGCAAGAGUGUGUUCAUUCUGACAAACCUGAUUCAGAAGAUGAAGAAGAUUACUGGCAACAUAUUUCCAUUACACCAACUCCUGUUAGAGAGAGGAUGGUGGAAUCAUGUGAAGUACCCAGGAAUCACACUGUCUCAAAUCAGUCUGUUGAAGAGGAUGGGCUGAAAGGAAUUCCACUCCAGCCUGUUCCACGCUCGAUUACGACAGAACAACCUUUUCCUGCAAAAAAUGUUGUGGAAAGUCAAUGUGAUGAUACGGUUAGUGCAAAUCGAAUUAAAGAUGGAGCUGAAUAUUUGAGUAACUCCCCUUCGGACAGAGUUGAUGAGGGAGAUUCACUUGAGACAUCUGUGAGUAGAGGAAUUGAGAAUUCACCUGAACUUCUAAUUGAGCUAGAGAUGCCAGUACAACACAGUCCACUCGACACUAGUGUUAAUGAACAAACAUCUGAAGUGAUGGAACCUGAAAAUAAUGCUGAAAUCCCUCCAAAUGAACCAUCAAGUGAAUGUUCUGUGCGCAGAUCUGAAAGAAUCCGUAAACGUCAAGGAUUGUUUCAUUACCCAACCUUAGGGAAACCUAUAAUCUCAUUCGCACAGAUUUUGCUGGAAGGAUUUCAUCAAGCAGUAAUUGAAACCUUGCUGGAAACACAGGAUGGUACCUUAAAGGGACAGUUCACCCAAAAAUCAAAAUUAUGUCAUUAAUGACUCACCCUCAUGUCGUUCCAAACCCGUGAGGCCUCCGUUCAUCUUCGGAACACAGUAUAAGAUAUUUUAGAUUUAGUCCGAGAGCUUUCUGUCCCUCCAUUGAGAAUGUAUGUACGGUAUACUGUCCACGUCCAGAAAGGUAAUAAAAACAUCUUCAAAGUAGUCCA